RNAcentral lists this ribosomal RNA (404 nucleotides) under uncultured Blastocladiomycota. RNAcentral's name for it is "partial small subunit ribosomal RNA". It matches the Rfam family "Eukaryotic small subunit ribosomal RNA", at positions 30 to 432 of the family's 1831-position model. Lineage: Eukaryota; Fungi; Blastocladiomycota. The record is from RNAcentral.
GCUUGUCUCAAAGAUUAAGCCAUGCAUGUCUAAGUGUAAACAAUUUUAUACAGUGAAACUGCGAAUGGCUCAUUAAAUCAGUUAUAGUUUAUUUGAUAGUACCUUACUACUUGGAUAACCGUGGUAAUUCUGCAGCUAAUACAUGCGUUAAAACCCGACUUUUUUGGAAGGGUUGUACUUAUUAGAUUAAAACCAGCCCGGGCAACCGGUCCUUUGGUGAUUCAUGAUAACUUUGCGAAUCGCAUAGCUUUAAUGCUGGCGAUGGGUCAUUCAAAUUUCUGCCCUAUCAACUUUCGACGGUAGGAUAGAGGCCUACUGUGGUGAUAACGGGUAACGAAGAAUAAGGGUUCGAUUUCGGAGAGGGAGCCUGAGAAACGGCUACCACAUCCAAGGAAGGCAGCAGG